This is a long non-coding RNA of Panthera uncia (snow leopard), 578 nucleotides long. RefSeq lists it as uncharacterized. The record is from RefSeq and is a predicted model, not a curated record. The transcript has 2 exons. NCBI's taxonomy places the organism in Eukaryota, Metazoa, Chordata, Mammalia, Carnivora, Felidae.
CUACACACUCAACAAAAUGGCUCAAAUGAAAAAUAUUGAUGCUAGCAGGUGGAGAAGUAUCAAGUAGAGAAAACAAACUCUUGUACUAUGCUGAUUGUCUGUGGAUACAAUUACCUUGAAAACUGGUUAGCAGAAUCUACAAGGCUUAAAUACAGCUACCCCAUAAACAAGUAUAUAUCCAACACAAGUGAGUGGCAUAAGUCCAUCAAAAGACAGAUACAAGAAUGUUCCUAACUGCUUUAUGCUUAAUAUCCCAAGUCUAGAAACCACCCAAACAUACUACUUAUACAGCAGCAUACUACCUACAAUGAUAAGUACAAGAAACCUGACACAAGAGAUCACACUGUAAUUAGGAGGUUCAAGAAGAGGCAGAACUGGGGCACCUGCGUGGCUCAGUGGGUUAAGCGUCUGACUUCAGCUCAAGUCAUGAUCUCGCAGUUGACGAGUUUGAGCCCACGUCAGGCCCCAUGCCGACAGCUAGGAACCUAGAGUGUGCUUUGUCUCUCUUUCUCUGGGUCCCUUCCCUGCUCACGCUCUGUCUCUGUCUCUCAAGAAUAAACAAACAUUAAAAAAAAAAA